GGCUGCAACUCGCCUGCAUGAAGUCGGAAUUGCUAGUAAUCGCAGAUCAGCAUGCUGCGGUGAAUACGUUCCCGGGCCUUGUACACACCGCCCGUCACACCAUGGGAGUCGGUAACACCCGAAGUCGGUAGCCUAACCGUAAGGAGGGCGCCGCCGAAGGUGGGAUUGAUGACUGGGGUGAAGUCGUAACAAGGUACC
This 198-nucleotide ribosomal RNA is filed under the name uncultured bacterium. RNAcentral's name for it is "partial 16S ribosomal RNA". It matches the Rfam family "Bacterial small subunit ribosomal RNA", at positions 1303 to 1500 of the family's 1533-position model. The record is from RNAcentral.